RNAcentral lists this non-coding RNA (45 nucleotides) under Schistosoma mansoni. The record is from RNAcentral. Lineage: Eukaryota; Metazoa; Platyhelminthes; Trematoda; Strigeidida; Schistosomatidae.
GUCCAACUGAUGAGUCUCAAAUAGGACAAAACAUGUGUCCUAGAU